AUACUGUCAAUAGUGUGUUUGAUAACCUGAUGUGGGACAGGAGUUCUUUUCACUGUUGUGUCAGUUUAUCAAACCCUGGAAGCCCCUGC
Molecule: microRNA precursor, 89 nt
Organism: Chrysemys picta bellii (western painted turtle)
Lineage: Eukaryota; Metazoa; Chordata; Testudines; Emydidae
Source: Ensembl